UUGAAUUUCCAUUUUUUUUUUAUUGAUGUAGGAGAAUAAAAGUUUCUUUAGCAUUUUUCAUGACAUUACAGGCUUGAUGGAGCUAACUGAAAUUAUUACUAUCGUAUAGGUAUGUGCACAUCAUUUAAAUAAAUUAGGAUAAUGAUCGUAUGAGACACAAUGAUGACAUUUCUAAAGGCCAGUUUUCCUUUGGUAAUACAUGGUCUGUCUGUGGAUAAAUAAUGCCCAAAUCAGAUAGUCAUAUUUUUUUACAAGGGACAAAACAAAAAUCAAGUAUGUGAGACCAUUUCAGCACAAAAGGCCAACAACCCACACGUUGGGUGCAAAUAAACAUGUUGAAAUGGACAGUAAAUCGUUAAGAAAGGCACCAUGUUAUGUACUGCAUGUUUUGUAUACUUCACAUAUUCUGGUAAAGCCUUCAACAAGGAUUUAAUCGACCAUAAAUGUUUCUGCUAAUGUUUCUGUUUCCAAUGGUAUGUGUACUGGAGCUUUGGAUUUAGCGUACAAUUUCAUACUGUUUUUCAUGUUUAGAAUGGGUAUCUCUCCUUUGAAACAACCCCCUUGGUGAAACAUCCAAUAAUCCCUACAGGAUCCUGUUCAGUAGGCACAAAAUGUUUUGAAAUCAAUGAGGUAGCCUACUACCUGAGGUUGAGCGUGUCCAAUGAGUCAUCUUUGCAUUCCAUUUCAAAAUGUUUUGCUACAUUGUGCCCUAUUGAACAUGACCCUGUUGUACCUGAAUCUGUAACACUUAAAAGGUUAGUCCACCCAAAUUACAAAAUGUUUUUUUUAUUUUGGUACCCUGUAAAGACUGCUUGAAGGGUAAGAAAAACAAUGUAAUUUUGUGAUUUGAGUGACUUAUCCCUUUAAGUCAAAAGGGCUAAUUGUUGUUAGCAUUAGCCAUGAAGUCACUCACACUGCUUGCCAAGGUGUGCAAAAUAUCACUUACAGAUUAUUAACAUAACAUUAUAUACAUUCUACAGCAUGUCAACUUCAGUUUAAG
RNAcentral lists this long non-coding RNA (1000 nucleotides) under Salmo salar (Atlantic salmon). RNAcentral describes it as "lncRNA (ENSSSAG00000121033.1)". The record is from RNAcentral. Lineage: Eukaryota; Metazoa; Chordata; Actinopteri; Salmoniformes; Salmonidae.